CAAGAACCGAGGGCAGGUCAGGGCGGGAGUGGGUUGACAGCUGUGUGCUAUUCAGCUUUUACCAAGUAUUGGGUGAAAUGCACUAAAUUUAAACGGGAACUCCUGGUCGCUAUUUCCCUGCUUGGCUGGAGGAGGUACUGACGCAGACAUCAGAUAACUGAUAUUGAAACGAGAAUUCACAGUUCUUUACUGACACCUUCAAAAAGCCACCUAAGACACGCAGUUCUCUUGGAAGCCACUUCCUUUGACCUUCGUGGCCCAGUGUCUCCAAAACCAGUAUCUGUUGAAAAAUCAGAAGAUUCAGCAAUACUAGGCGCACCACCCCUGAUGAAAAAAUCCUCCUGGAUCCAGGAUGAAGCAAACUGCUUCACGAGAAGCCCUAGAGAAGAACACACAGGUAUGAGCAAAAUAUUUGAAUUCUGUCAUUUAAACUUUCAUCAUGAAAGAACCAUGCAGGCUGACUUUAAGCCUUUGCGUGUGCUGCUCCUGUUGACAGGCCGUUGACCACAGCUUUCUAUGUAUCUUUCCAUUUUGUUGUCAUUCUUCUAUUUGUUUUCAUGAAAGUAUGUUUGUCAAGGUAGGAGGUAGGAGGAUAGAAUACAUGUUAUCUUGUACUUUGCUGGCUUGAUUUGUUCCUUUGCAAUAUUUAGAUACACAAAAGAUGGACUUUUGUUUCUAUUGAGGCAGACCCAGUAAAGUUAGGGGCAAGUCUAGUGCUGAGCACCUAAAUGAAGAUUUAAAUAUUUGCUGACUGAUUGGUGUGUAACUGGAACAAAGGCAAAAGGAUUUUUAAAAAAAGGAUAUUUAAAAAUUUUGAAUUCCCGUUCACCCCAUUGCUUAGGUCUCAGCCUGAGUCUCAGGGUAAUCUCAGUGAAAUUCCCUGGCUGGGAUGACCAGGGCAGCUGGUUGGUUGUGAGUCAACAGGUAAUGUCUCAUUUGUGCUAACAAAAACCAUGUGACUACAUCCCCCAUGUCAAACCUCUGUAGUUGGGGGUCUCAUUGCCAAGUCUAUGGAAUUCUGCCUACCAUUUUAAGAAGUAGCUUAUUUGAGCAGUACCGAUUAUCUUUUAUUUCACACUUGUGAACUUAGGAAGCUCCUGGACCUGUUGACUCAAGAGAAUGUCAAAACUGACUUGAAAUCUUUCUCUCUAUAAAUCACAAUAGGAAAUUCUGUAUUAUCAUUGGAUAGCUAACUAAUAUGUAUUAAGUGAAUAUGCCAUGUUGCAUGUUAUAUUGGGCUCCAUGCAA
This 1248-nucleotide long non-coding RNA is filed under the name Callithrix jacchus (white-tufted-ear marmoset). Its description in RNAcentral is "lncRNA (ENSCJAG00000086343.1)". Lineage: Eukaryota; Metazoa; Chordata; Mammalia; Primates; Cebidae. The record is from RNAcentral.